AUGAAUAAACCCAUUACCUCAACUCCCUGUACAUUACUGAGGCAUUUUUACUUGUCAGAUUUUCUGUUUUGCGGAGGCUUGGAUGUUUUCAGGAUGCUGUCAAUGCAGACAAAACAGAGCCGGUUUUCCCAGCAGCACCAGAUGUGGAUGAGAACAUGGGCCUCCCUGGCCCUCCAGUUCCAAGGUUUGGUGGAAGAAGACACAUCAGAGUCUCCAACACACCGGACCUGUUACCAGCAUUCAUGUCACAAAGCUCCUGGCUCUUCCUCUGGCUGCCACACUGUGGAGGAAGUGAUGUACGAGCGACCGUGUCCACGCACAGGGGAGGUCCCAGAAACGUCAUGGGGGAAAGACUGAAAGAUCUGUUCCUCCAGCCAUUCCGUAAGGGAAUUGUUCAGCAAAAGGCUUUCUGAAUUUAUGAGAAGGGAAACGUUCAAACUGUGAGUCCAGUUUAAAUUGUUUUUGGUUUCCGGGGCGCCUGGGUGGCGCAGUCGGUUAAGCGUCCGACUUCAGCCAGGUCACGAUCUCGCGGUCCAUGGGUUCGAGCCCCGCGUCAGGCUCUGGGCUGAUGGCUCAGAGCCUGGAGCCUGUUUCCGAUUCUGUGUCUCCCUCUCUCUCUGCCCCUCCCCCGUUCAUGCUGUGUUUCUCUCUGUCCCAAAAAUAAAUAAAUGUUGAAAAAAAAAUUAAAAAAAAAU
This 695-nucleotide long non-coding RNA is filed under the name Felis catus (domestic cat). RNAcentral describes it as "lncRNA (ENSFCAG00000044831.2)". The record is from RNAcentral. Lineage: Eukaryota; Metazoa; Chordata; Mammalia; Carnivora; Felidae.